AUGGUGCAAUCUCGGGUCACUGCAGCUUCUUCCUCCCGGGUUCAAGUGAUUCUCCCUCUUCAGCCUCCUGAAUAGAAAGUUAAGUAAUGUGUUCAUACAUUAAUUCCAAUUCAUAUUAAGGAGUAGAAUGAUUUUUACUUCUUUGAUUUUAUGCCUAGAUCUCUUUCAUGCUGAAAAUUCUAGUUCCUAAUGAUUAAUAUUAAUUGUUCAUUUGGUUUAUGUAUAUUUAUCUGUUAUAUAAAUAUAAUGCUAUUUGUGUAUUUUUAUAUAUAGUUUUAAAAUAACAAUAUCAAUGUUACCACUAACAUCAAGACUACAGGAUGCAAUAGAAUAUCUUUAUGGUUCUUUUUGUUUUAGGCCAUAAUCCACUGUGUAGUAAACAUAUUGUGUUUUAAGAUCAAUUGAAUUAAAUCUUUUCUGCUUGGUUAUGCUACCAACUUGAAGUACAGUUGAAUUUAUUCAUUUCCUUAUUUUCCUUCAGUAUUCAAAGAGUGGUCUUUUUCUUUUUUGAUUUACCAUGUGAAACAUUUUACCUGGUUCUAAAUAAAAACUAAAAACAAAUUAUAGUUAGAAAGUCUAGCUUUUAUCCUUUUACUACUUCUUGUUUUCUCCCUCACCCUAUAGAUAACCAUUUAUAAAUUGUGUAUGUGUAAUCUUGCAUUUUUUUCUUAGAAAAAUAUAAGCCUAUUUGUAUGUGUAUCUAUAUCUAUGUAUUUAUAUCUGUUUAUAUCUAUUAUCCCCUUUUCUUACAUGUUUCUUUACCCUUUUUUCACUUAAUAAGUCCUGAGGAUCACUCCAUAGCAACAUAUAAAAGGUCUAUAUAUAUAUAUAUAUAUAUGUAUAUAUAUGAAGUCCUCCAUUACAUAAACAUUCCUUAGCUUUUUCAACCAGAUACCUAGUGAUGAACAUUUGAGCAGUUUCCAGUCUUUGUUUUAACAAAUAGAGAAAUUAGGUUGCUCUAAUACAUAAUAGUGUCUGCUUCUCUAUAGCCUCACUACUAGAUUAAUCAUAUUUUUAGCUUUUUGCCAACCUCAUAGGUGAGAAAAAUUAUCUAUCUAAAAUUGGAAUCUCUAGAAGACAGAGUUAAGGGCAAUUCCAAGGAAGUAAGGAAUACUCUUUCAAGGAAGUAACAGUGAGAGAGAAACAAAGGGAGGAGGAAAAAAGGAGAACUAGUACAAGGUAAUGAGUUACCAAGCUGGCCAUAGCUUCACAAGAAACACAACUGAUUGCUUGGUAAGGAGAGAGUGUUUCUUGGAAGGUGGGAUAGAGUAGUACAAUUAAUUUGUUUGCUAUGCAGAGAGAAAAAGAAUAACAGGAAGAGGCGGGUUGAUAACAGUCAUACAUAGCUUGACAACAGAUUAAAAAUUUACAUUUUGCUGCAUUGGCAAUGGAAAGCCAGGAAACAUUUUGAGCAGGAAAAUGAUUAAGAGCAAAGAGGAUUUUAGGAAGAUCUGGAUUAAGGUUAGGAGUGUUUAGGGAACAGGUCACCAGUUGGAAAACAAUUACAUGUCCAGCUGAGGAGUAAUAGAAGACUGAAUUAAGCAUUGUUGGACAAAUAUAUAAAAGAAGACAGUCUGGGCAAAGGAUGCUUAAUUUGGGAACUUUGGCAGACCUUAGAGAACCUAUUAUUGGGUUCUAGGGGUUUGUAAACCUCUAAAAUGAUAAGCACAUUUUUGUGUUCCAAGUAUGUUCAGUUUUUAGGGGAAAGGGUUUUUAGCUUUAACCUAAUGCUCAAAGGCAGUUCUAAGACAAAAAAUAAUUAGGAAAUCCUGAAUCAAUGAGAUUUUGUGAUCACUAAUAGAUUUAUGUUGUAAAUAAGCCUCAUUUAUGAACUUAAUAUUAAUCCUUGGUGCAUUUUACAUUUUUACAACCACAUUCUUCUAACUCCUAUUGUACUUAUUGUCUGAGCCACUCAUUUUAACAUCUAACUUGUUUUUGUAACUUUGUUUUCCCUACACUGCUUUUCUUUUUGUUUUAGAUGGAGUUUCCCUCUUGUCGUCCAGGCGGGAGUACAGUGUUGAGACCUCAGUUCUCUGCACUCUCUGCCUCCCAGGUUCAAGUGAUUCUCCUGCCUUAGCCCCCCAAGUAGCUGGGAUUAUAGGCACCCACCACCAUACUGGCUAAUUUUUGUAUUUUUAGUAGAGAUGGGGUUUUGCCAUGUCAACCAGGCUGGUCCCGAACUCCUGACCUCAGGUGAUCCACGCAUCUCGGCCUCCCAAAGUGCUGGAAUUACAGGUGUGAGCCAUGGUGCCAGGGCUACACUGUGUUUUCCUUAAAAGGACACAUCUGUAUAUUGUCCUCAGUCACAGGUUACUGUACAACAUGGUGACUAUGGUUAGUAGCAACGUCUUGUAUUUUGAAAAUUGCUGAGAGUAGAUUUUAAAUAUUCCAGUCAGAAAAAAUUAUAAAUAUGUGAGGUAAUGCAUAUGUUAAUUAGCUCAUUUGAGCCAUUCCAUGAUGUAUACAUAUUUUGAAACACAAUGUUCUACAUGAUAAAUAUAUCCAAUUUUUAUUUGUCAAUUAAGAAAAUAAAGGAAAAAAGUACAACUUAAAUAAAAUAAAACUUGCUUAAAAACACCUAUUAAGCUAGACAUGGUGGAAGAGAUUGGCAAAAAUGUAAAAUAAUAUCUUUCUUCUCAUUAAACAUUUUUGGUUUGGAAUCAGCCAUUUCAUUAAAGCAUUUUAUUUAUGUCAAAAAAAAAAAAAAAAAAAAAGACACCAAGCACAUACACACAUAGGACUAAGAACUAAACCCAUUUUUUUUUUUUUUACUUAAAACUUUCAUUUUGAUGUAACCUUUUUUCUUUUUUAUCCUUGGCUACUAAGAACAGAAAUAGUUUUCCAUUUAUUUGUUGUAUCAGAACUCAUCCCAGGAGCAUAAAGGCCUGAAAUGAACUCUACUUUAUGAUACUCACAUUUGAGAAAUUCCAUUAGAACACAGAUGGAUCUGUGUGUGGUGAUGAACUCGGAGCAGGAGAGAAGGGUUUUCAUCACUUUACCAGGGCCCUGAACAUACUGGAAAACUUAUCGGGCCCCACCUCACUCCUUGCUUGGAAUAAGACUUUCCCUUAUGUACCCAAACAAUGCCUCCCAUCCCAGCUAAGAGGAAGGGAGCUAACGGGAGCAUUUUGAGUUGUUUUAAAUUUAUAACAUUAAACUGUUCAUUGUUAAGACACUUUGAUCAGCUUCGAGGUUUUGCUUUUACAAUUGAUUCUAAGCACCAUAAAAUUGGUGCUUCUGUGUUGGUACUUGCCUCUUGAGCAUUUAAGAAAUAUUUCAAAAGGUGUGUUAGUUAUUUUUCAGGAAAAGAUGAAACUUUAGCUUUGAGCUGUCUAUAAGGUUACCUAGAAAUUCAAUUUAAUAUUACCCUGCUUCAGUUGAAAAAUAAAGUUUAGAGCCAUAUAAAAUUAAGAAUCUGUAACUAGGACAAGGACAGAAAUAAACUUAUUAAACACUUUUGAAAAGUAUAUUACAAAGCACAAUAUUUUCUUUCUUUAAAGGAGGUAUUCUUAUACUGAGAUUAGAAAAGGAUUGUUUAAAACUAUCAAAAGGAAUAAAAUUCUUUAAACUGCUGCUGCCACUGGAUCUGAAUGUCUAUGAAUGGGAGACUUAAUAUUUUUGAACAGUUUAUUGAGGUGUAAUUUACUUACCAUAAAAUUCACCUGUUUUAAGUUCGGGGAUCUGUAAAUUUAAUGUUAUUAAAUGUUGGUCACAAGAGCUACUUCUGGCUCUGCAGUAAAUCUUUAUAGUUAGUAAUUAUUUUGUAAUUAAGUCAAUAAGAGAAUCCCAAAACUGGUCACAAUUUUGAUAAGAAAAAUUUUUAGAAUCCUGUAAGGAAAUUUGUCAGAUGUAUCAUUCCCCCUGUACAUUACCGCUUAAGUCUAUUUGUUAUUCAAAUUUAGGCCCUCAUGUUUGAGAUACUGUUUUCCACCCACACGGCAAUCUAUGAAAUUCCCAGGAUAUGUGUUAUGAAGAAAGGUAUUUUCAAUUUGGAGAAUAUACAAAGUGCCAAUUGAAGACAAUUUCAACGUCAUUUUAAAAAAUUAAGGGAGAAGCAUGACACUGGCCAACACUGCGUCCAGCAUUUGGGUGGCCUUCGGGAUUUCCCAGUCCUCUGAAAUGGCCAUCCUUCUCAGUGCGAACUUGAAGAGUGAAAAUACAACCUUGAAGAAAUGCAAAAACGCUUCAUGUUAACAAACAGAAGAAAUAGAUAAAACAAGAAGAAGAGAUUUUGCCUUUGUACACAUCUUUAGAAAGAACUUUUCCGCCGGGCGCGAUGGCUCACACCUGUAAUCCCAGCACUUUGGGAGGCUGAGGCAGGCGGAUCAGGAGGUCAGGAG
This is a long non-coding RNA of Cercocebus atys (sooty mangabey), 4340 nucleotides long. RefSeq lists it as uncharacterized. The transcript has 3 exons. NCBI's taxonomy places the organism in Eukaryota, Metazoa, Chordata, Mammalia, Primates, Cercopithecidae. The record is from RefSeq and is a predicted model, not a curated record.